RNAcentral lists this ribosomal RNA (320 nucleotides) under uncultured eukaryote. RNAcentral describes it as "partial 18S ribosomal RNA". It matches the Rfam family "Eukaryotic small subunit ribosomal RNA", at positions 1470 to 1796 of the family's 1831-position model. The record is from RNAcentral.
CCCUUAGAUGUUCUGGGCUGCACGCGUGCUACAAUGGCGCUUGCAACAAGUCUUGCCAACCCGAUAGGGUGUGCGGAUCUUUGAAGAGGCGUCGUGAUCGGGACAGUUGAUUGCAAUUAUUCGACUCGAACGAGGAAUUCCUUGUAAUCGCGAUUCAUCAUAUCGCGCUGAAUACGUCCCUGCCCUUUGUACACACCGCCCGUCGCUCCUACCGAUUGAGCGAUCCGGUGAAUGUUUUGGACUGGCGUCAGAAGCGGUUCGCUCCUGACACUACGAAAUUUUGUAAACCUUAUCGCUUAGAGGAAGGAAAAGUCGUAACA